CACAGAAAAGCCAGGGAACAUGGGGAAUGUAGACCAGGUAGAUAUGCAAGCAUGAAAUGACUGGCUCAUACAAGGACUUGGCCCGAGCCAAACACAGGAUCCAAUUU
Molecule: long non-coding RNA, 107 nt
Organism: Lontra canadensis (Northern American river otter)
Lineage: Eukaryota; Metazoa; Chordata; Mammalia; Carnivora; Mustelidae
Exons: 3
Source: RefSeq, a predicted model, not a curated record